UAGGCGGGCAGGUAAGUCAGUGGUGAAAUCCUGGAGCUCAACUCCAGAACUGCCAUUGAUACUAUCUGUCUUGAAUAUUGUGGAGGUAAGCGGAAUAUGUCAUGUAGCGGUGAAAUGCUUAGAUAUGACAUAGAACACCCAUUGCGAAGGCAGCUUACUACGCAUAUAUUGACGCUGAGGCACGAAAGCGUGGGGAUCAAACAGGAUUAGAUACCCUGGUGGUCCACGCCCUAAACGAUGCUGACUAGUUGUUCGGGAUUUACAUCCUGAGUAACGUAGCUAACGCGUGAAGUCAGCCGCCUGGGGAGUACGGUCGCAAGAUUAAAACUCAAAGGAAUUGACGGGGACCCGCACAAGCGGUGGAUGAUGUGGAUUAAUUCGAUGCAACGCGAAAAACCUUACCUACCCUUGACAUGUCACUAACGAAGUAGAGAUACAUUAGGUGCCCGUAAGGGAAAGUGAACACAGGUGCUGCAUGGCUGUCGUCAGCUCGUGUCGUGAGAUGUUGGGUUAAGUCCCGCAACGAGCGCAACCCUUGUCUUUAGUUGCUACGCAAGAGCACUCUAAAGAGACUGCCGGUGACAAACCGGAGGAAGGUGGGGAUGACGUCAAGUCCUCAUGGCCCUUAUGGGUAGGGCUUCACACGUCAUACAAUGGUGCAUACAGAGGGUUGCCAACCCGCGAGGGGGAGCUAAUCUCAGAAAAUGCAUCGUAGUCCGGAUCGUAGUCUGCAACUCGACUACGUGAAGCUGGAAU
This 756-nucleotide ribosomal RNA is filed under the name uncultured bacterium. RNAcentral's name for it is "bacterial SSU rRNA". It matches the Rfam family "Bacterial small subunit ribosomal RNA", at positions 572 to 1332 of the family's 1533-position model. The record is from RNAcentral.